UACGGAGGGGGCUAGCGUUGUUCGGAAUUACUGGGCGUAAAGCGCACGUAGGCGGCUACACAAGUCAGAGGUGAAAGCCCGGGGCUCAACCCCGGAACUGCCUUUGAAACUGGGUGGCUAGAAUCUUGGAGAGGCGAGUGGAAUUCCGAGUGUAGAGGUGAAAUUCGUAGAUAUUCGGAAGAACACCAGUGGCGAAGGCGACUCGCUGGACAAGUAUUGACGCUGAGGUGCGAAAGCGUGGGGAGCAAACAGG
This 253-nucleotide ribosomal RNA is filed under the name uncultured bacterium. RNAcentral's name for it is "partial 16S ribosomal RNA". It matches the Rfam family "Bacterial small subunit ribosomal RNA", at positions 524 to 776 of the family's 1533-position model. The record is from RNAcentral.